This is a long non-coding RNA of Xenopus laevis (African clawed frog), 2716 nucleotides long. RefSeq lists it as uncharacterized. NCBI's taxonomy places the organism in Eukaryota, Metazoa, Chordata, Amphibia, Anura, Pipidae. The transcript has 3 exons. The record is from RefSeq and is a predicted model, not a curated record.
GAUCAAAUGUGCUAAAACUUCGAUUCAAACUAUUCAAAUACAGCCUAUUCAUCUGAAGUUAAAAAUGUAGAUUUUUCCAAUAAAUUAUGAUUGGUCUCUUUUAUUUGAAUUUCACAGUUAUGGGAGUUAAAAAAAAACUCCCAUUACUUCAAAAUUUGACCCUUGUUAAAUCUGUUCCUUAAAGUUAAAAAACCUGCUGUCAUUUUUGACUAUGCACUUCUCUCUAUAAACCACAACAAGUAAUGCCCAGACAUGCCCCAAUCUACAUAAUAGUCAAGCCAACUUCUUGUAAACCAUGCUCCUUUUUAGUCUGCAAUUCAGGACUGCUCUGCAGGUUCUCUCAUGAAUCUUCAUUCAAUGCAGCCAUUUCUGGAUGUAGAAGGGAUAGUCAUAGCAUAGCCUGGCCAUUUCACACUAUCAUUUGUCUGGCUCCAUUCAAGUUCAAAGAUCAGUGGCAAUUAAGCAUAGAUUUCUUGGAGGGAGAAUCAGCAAAGUAUUCCUUUGAGGCACCAGUGAGGACUGUUUUUUAUGACUCAGGAGCAUGGAAUAAUUUUGAUACUUUUUACAUAAGCUUAGAAUUGAGCUGAAAGUCUAAAUUUUGGAAGGUGUAGAAGGUUUCAAAUUUGGGUUGGCACAUCUGCUGUCCUGGCCUGACAAGGAGAAUUUGUGGGCAGAUGGAGAUCGAUGACAACUACCACCCUACUGAAAACUACCCCAGGUCUGUACAAGUUUUACUGAAGUGGAGAGCCAGCCUCGGGUAUGAGGAGGUGAGUGUAGCAUUCAGAGAGGAUCGGACUAACAUGAACUAGCAAGAUAUAUAACAAAUUAAAGGACCAGGGAGUCAACAGUCUGCUACUAUCAAGAUCCUUGCCUGUCUGACUAUCCUGAACACUGCCAAUGCUGACCCUUGCCUGACUGAAUAUUCUGAACUCUUCCAGUCCUUAUCCCUGCCUGCCUGACUAUUCUGAACUCUACCGAUAUUGACCCUUGCCUGCCUGACUAUUCUUUGAACGCUGCCUGUACCGACCCCGGCCAGAUUGACCUUGCUUAAACUCCACCUGUACCAACUUGGCCUGCUGACUACGCUUUACGUCUACUCACUGAACUGUUGCUUUCCAUCCAAAACCUAGAAAAUUCACGUGCACCUUUGUUCGUUCAGAACACUUGCUUUGCUCCUCUCAAGUUAAGACCUGGCAACAUCUGAGUAACUGAGGGCUCCUCCAGAUGCCAAAGGCGGCUGCUACAGGCAGAAGAUUGAGCCGUGGCCAGGUAACUUAGCACUUGUUCUGAAUUUAGGGAGCCUACGUGACAUCUGGUAUGAAAUGCAUGAGUUCUGCUUGAAAGUGAACCUUAUGCUGGCACGUGCAACUUGAGCAUACUAUGUAAAUGUCAUGCAAGUAAGUAGCUCAAAGACAUCCUUAAAAAUGUACAAAAUGUCUUUUUUGUACAACACAUGUAGAAAACAAAUGAUAUGACUAAAGAAAAACACUUGAAAAACUUGGGCUUUACAGUACUUUACAGUGCAGUUCUAUGUAUAUAUUAUUUUUAUUUGCUUAGAUUAAUGGAAGUGAAAGUAUGGCUCAACAGUAAACAAUCAGCACAAUGGUUUUCCAUAUUAUAGGCACACACAUAUUAACGCACACAUAAUUUCGCACACAAGAAUAAUUGGAUUACUCAUUUUGAAAUAUCAUUAAUCUGGAAAGCACUAAAUUGCUCUUUUUCAAACUCCAUUAAUAUGGUACUGCGUUACAAAUAUACAUCAUGACUGCUGAAUUUAGAAGUGUUGAAAUUAUUCUUGCUUAUCUCAGUAGCAACUGCCCAUGUUGAUUCUCCUAAAAACAAGAUAGACUCAAAUGAAUACCCACAUAUAGGCCCAUUUGCUAAGUAGCAUUUGUUCAGUUAACAAAACCAUCAAUUCGUUUCAAUUGGUCAGUUGUCUAAAACAAAAGCAAAGAUCAUAUUGGGGCUGUUGGUUAGAACACUGGUGCAGUUUUUCAGCUGUUUUAGAAGUUGAGCUCCAUGUUGUUUAUCUCUUGCUUAUUUCGUGUACACCCACAUAAAUCAGGAGAGAUGAUAAAAACAUAAUUCAUUAUAUUUGGGUACCUUUGAAAUAUGCAAAUAAUUUAACAGUUAUAGUGGAGCAUAGGCACUAGAAAAUACAGCAACACAAGUUUCAUUACUGUAUGCCUAAAUAAAUGUUUGCAAAACAGAUAUGUCAGGUUGUACAUUUAUCUUGUAAACAAAGAUAAAUGAUGCCGUGUUCUUCCCAGAACAAUUUGCCUCCCCUAAAAAUAAUAGUCAAAGUGAAACUGUUUUCUGCAGACAGUUUCUCUUUGUUAAAUAUUGCAACAUUAUAGUUUUGUAAAUACAUUAAAACAACAGUUUACAUUACUAUCCGAGAACCAAAUGAAUAGAAAUAGUUUCUACUAUACAGCAUCUGUUCUUGUGCUUGAGAAAAACAAUUGCAACAUGCCCACAAUCUGUUGCACCUGUGACACUGGGGAAAUUAGUAAUAGCGGCAAAGUAUUUUGAGCAAAUGCCUUCAAGGUAGAACUGAUCAAUGGGCAUUCUGGACAAAAAAUCCUUCGAAACCUAAAUUAAAGAUUUUCAUUUUGCGCUUCAAGGGUUCCAAAAUGUAACCUGAGAUUAUUGAUUCCGUAUAUAUUUUUUAAUAUGUAUGAAUUAUAUUAGAUGGGUUAAAAUUAAUUUCUUUGAU